CUUUUGUCCAGUUUAUGGCCCCUCUGGGGGAUGUCACAGGGUGCCACACACAGCGCUGGCACAAUGAGGGGCAGGGGGAAAGCAGCAGCGCCCAGGAGCUGGCAGGAGGAGCUCAGCACUGUUACCUGUGCAGGGCGGUUCUGCGCUUGCCACUCCUCUGGGCGAGGGUGAAGGGCAGCUCCCUCACCUCCUCCCGAUAUCUGCCCACUGCUAGGCACAGGCAGCUCCCUCCCAAGGCAGGCACGAGUGCCACACGGAAGUCACAGCACCUCUCGGUGCACAUGAGACCUCUGAGACCUCGGGCCAAGGAGCUGGGGAAGGAAACCGCAGCCUGAGAGAGCCCAGGAGGCUCCAGCCCAUCCUGCACGCCAGCCCUCUCCUUAGGGAUCUGCCCUGAGGGGCACCGAGGAAGGCUCUCCACUUCACCAUGCAGGAUGAAAUUCUGCUGACUCCCUGCAGGGAAUCCCCUGCUGAGGACACAGACUCCUUUGCCUCCCCGGUAAGCUCUGCUCCUUCUGCAUCUGCAGCUCAGAGAGGGGACAAAUCCCCAUUUCCCCUGCUCAUUCCCAACUCCCCUCUACACAGCCACAAUGGGGUCCAAACCUCUGAGAAGCUGGAGCUGGAAAGGAGAGCUCUCAGCUUUCCAUUCCUAAUAAUUCCCUGCUGGUUUUGUGGGCAGAAUGAAGAGAAGUGGGAUUUUGUCCUGGUGAGUGACAUCCACGAAAUGGGCAGUGAGAAGGAGAUCAAGAGAAAGAAGUUCCUGGAUGAGCUGAGCAAGAAGGGUUUCACCAUCAAGGUGAGAGGCUCUGGGAGGAAAAGGCAGCAGAUACUUGGCCUGACUUGGGCUCCUGCAUCCCAGAAAAUGGGAGAGGCCUGAACCAUUGAGCUGUUCAAUACAUCAGAGCUGGAAAAGGACCCACUUGCUCAACCAGCAGAGAAAGCAGAGAAAGACCCCAGCCCCAGGACUCACACAGCCCCCAGCCCGUCCAGCUCUGGCUCUUCCCUGCCUCUCUGGCUCUGUUUUAACAGCCCUUCUCUUCCUCUCACCAGAAAAUCGAGGACACAAAGCUCUUUUAUGGAGUCCGUGCCCCGCCGCACAUCUUCUGGAAAUACCAGCGUCUCCUGACGAACCCCAACAGCAGGCAGCAAAACUCCAGUGCCUACCAGGACGUCCCAAUGACCACCAGGUGGGUGCUGAGCUGAUUUCCAGCCUCCUGCAAUCACUGUUCUCCACACCAAAAUCCAUUUUCCAAAAGGCUGUCCCAGCCUUUUCACUUUCCACAGAACCUUCCUUCAUCUCCCACAUACAAACCUGAUGGCUUCUCAUUGUCCACAUUUCUCCUUCCCUUGCUUCCCUGGAUUUUAGUGCACACCUUCUCCCUUCGCUGCCCUGUUUUCCUGAGGCACACAACACAAGUCUGUAUCCCAGGGCAGGCUUUAAGCAGAGUUUCUCUUGUUCAGGAUACGGGUCGUGCAUUUCAUCCUGCAGAACACUGUGACAUCCGACUUAGGUAAGGGAACGGGGAUCACAGGGGUGAUGCUGCUCAGCCUGGAUCUGCAGGAAGAAUUCUGCCCAAUCCUGGGCACUGGCAUCCCAGCUGCCUUGCCAUCCUGGGGGGAG
Molecule: long non-coding RNA, 1621 nt
Filed under: Junco hyemalis (dark-eyed junco)
Lineage: Eukaryota; Metazoa; Chordata; Aves; Passeriformes; Passerellidae
Description: lncRNA (ENSJHYG00000006428.1)
Source: RNAcentral